Molecule: long non-coding RNA, 214 nt
Filed under: Helianthus annuus (common sunflower)
Lineage: Eukaryota; Viridiplantae; Streptophyta; Magnoliopsida; Asterales; Asteraceae
Description: hypothetical non coding rna
Source: RNAcentral
AUCUCUUGGGACCGGACCAGACUAUCCCCGUUAAUGUUUGAUGAACAAAUUGUGAAAAAGACAUCUAUUGAUUGAAACAUAGCUAUACUUAAGGACAAUGCUAAUAAUAAGUUGCCAAAAACACUAAAUGCUUCCAAUCAAAGCACCCGACCCGUUUUCUUCUGCCGGAAAAUCAAACCUAAAUUCUGGUAGCAGAUUGACCUCCUCACCAUGA